GAUGAACGCUGGCGGCGUGCUUAACACAUGCAAGUCGAACGGUGAAGGCGGAGCUUGCUCUGCUGGAUCAGUGGCGAACGGGUGAGUAACACGUGAGCAAUCUGCCCCUGACUCUGGGAUAAGCGCUGGAAACGGCGUCUAAUACUGGAUACGAGCUGCGCAGGCAUCUUCAGCAGCUGGAAAGAACUUCGGUCAGGGAUGAGCUCGCGGCCUAUCAGCUUGUUGGUGAGGUAACGGUUCACCAAGGCGUCGACGGGUAGCCGGCCUGAGAGGGUGACCGGCCACACUGGGACUGAGACACGGCCCAGACUCCUACGGGAGGCAGCAGUGGGGAAUAUUGCACAAUGGGCGAAAGCCUGAUGCAGCAACGCCGCGUGAGGGACGACGGCCUUCGGGUUGUAAACCUCUUUUAGCAGGGAAGAAGCGAAAGUGACGGUACCUGCAGAAAAAGCGCCGGCUAACUACGUG
This 468-nucleotide ribosomal RNA is filed under the name uncultured bacterium. Its description in RNAcentral is "partial 16S ribosomal RNA". It matches the Rfam family "Bacterial small subunit ribosomal RNA", at positions 28 to 507 of the family's 1533-position model. The record is from RNAcentral.